Molecule: ribosomal RNA, 1449 nt
Filed under: metagenome
Description: bacterial LSU rRNA
Rfam family: Bacterial large subunit ribosomal RNA
Source: RNAcentral
CUAGCUCACUGGUCAAGCGAGCCCGCGCCGAAAAUAUAACGGGGCUAAGUCUGGUACCGAAGCUUCGGAUUGUCGAAAGACAGUGGUAGCGGAGCAUUCUCAAGUAGACACACGGCAUACCGUAAGGAGUGCUAUCGGACUUGAGAAGAGCUUAUGCAGGCAUGAGUAGCGAUAAACAGGAUGAGAAAUCCUGUCGCCGUAAGCCCAAGGUUUCCUGGGGAAGGAUAAUCCUCCCAUGGGUUAGUCGGUCCCUAAGCCAAGGCCGAAAGGCGUAGGUGAUGGUAAGCAGGUUAAUAUUCCUGCACCACUAGGGAUGGCGUUGAGGCAAGCAGGGACGGAGAAGGGUAUGCUGAGCCAGCGAAUGGUUGUGCUGGUUCAAACCUGUAGGUGGUUCACGUAGGACGCGACAGCGACAAACGCGUGAACAUCACAUCGAGAGGUGAUGAGGUGGAGCUCCGGCUUCGAAACUCAGUGAUCCCAUGCUUCCAAGAAAAGCUGCGUGCAGAGCCUCUUUAGUGACCGUACUGCAAACCGACUCAGGUGGGCGGGGUGAAUAUCCCAAGGCGCGUGAGAGAACACUGGCCAAGGAACUCGGCAAAAUGACACCGUAACUUCGGGAGAAGGUGUGCCCGUAGACGUGAAAGGACUUGCUCCUCGAGCGUCCGUGGGUUGCAGAGAAUUGAGGGUAGCGACUGUUUACUAAAAACACAGGACUGUGCGAACUCAUAAGAGGACGUAUACGGUCUGACGCCUGCCCGGUGCUGGAAGGUUAAGGGGAGAUGUCAGCGCAAGCGAAGCAUCGAACCGAAGCCCCAGUAAACGGCGGCCGUGACGAUAACGGUCCUAAGGUAGCGAAAUUCCUUGUCGGGUAAGUUCCGACCUGCACGAAUGGCGUAACGACUUCCCUACUGUCUCGGUCAGUGACUCAGCGAAAUUGUAUUGGGGGUGAAGAUACCCUCUACCCGCGGCAAGACGGAAAGACCCCAUGAACCUUCACUGUAAGUUGGCAGUGAAGUUCGGGUCAGCCUGCGUAGGAUAGGUGGGAGGCUUUGAUGCCGGGAUUCCGGUUUCGGCGGAGCCAACCUUGAAAUACCACCCUGGCUGUUCUGGACUUCUAACCUAGGCCCAUUAUCUGGGUCGGGGACACUGCCUGCCGGGCAGUUUGACUGGGGCGGUCGCCUCCAAAAGAGUAACGGAGGCGCGCGAAGGUCCCCUCAGGCUGAAUGGAAACCAGCCGUAGAGUGCAAAGGCAUAAGGGAGCUUAACUGUGAGACCGACAGGUCGAACAGGUGAGAAAUCAGGUCUUAGUGAUCCGGUGGCACUGCAUGGAAGGGCCAUCGCUCAACGGAUAAAAGGUACUCUGGGGAUAACAGGCUGAUCGCGCCUGAGAGUCCAAAUCGGCGGCGCGGUUUGGCACCUCGAUGUCGGCUCAUCGCAUCCUGGGGCUGG